This 1298-nucleotide long non-coding RNA is filed under the name Pelobates cultripes (western spadefoot toad). Lineage: Eukaryota; Metazoa; Chordata; Amphibia; Anura; Pelobatidae. The record is from RNAcentral.
UGGCACUGUGUACAUGUAAUAUGGCAGGUCGGGGCGAGCCUGGCACUGUAUGUUGUAGGCAAGUUGGGGGCGAGCCUGGCACUGUGUACAUGUAAUAUGGCAAGUUGGGGUGAGCCUGGCACUGUGUACAUGUAAUAUGGCAGGUCGGGGCGAGCCUGGCACUGUAUGUUGUAGGCAAGUUGGGGGCGAGCCUGGCACUGUGUACAUGUAAUAUGGCAAGUUGGGGUGAGCCUGGCACUGUGUACAUGUGGUAUGGUACGUUGGAGUGACAUUGACACUGUGAAUGUUCUGGCAUAGCAAGGUGGGGGUGAGCCUAGCACUAUGUACAUGUAAUAUGGCAGGUUGGGGUGAACCUAGCACUGUGCACAUAUUGUCGUUAAGCUGGUUGUUGUGAGCUUGGCACCAUGUACAUGUGGUAUGGUACGUUGGAGUGACAUUGACACUGUGUAUGUUGUGGCAUAGCAAGGUGGGGUGAGCCUGGCACUGUGUACAUGUAAUAUGGCAGAUUGGGGUGAGCCUGGCACUGUGUAUGUUGUAGGCAAGUUGGGGCGAGCUUGGCACUGUGUACAUGUGGUAUGGUACGUUGGAGUGACAUUGACACUGUGUAUAUUGUGGCAUAGCAAGGUGGGGUGAGCCUGGCACUGUGUACAUUUGGUGUGAGCUUGGCACUGUGUACAUGUGGUAUGGUACGUUGGAGUGACAUUGACACUGGAUAUUGUGGCAUAGCAAGGUGGGGUGAGCCUGGCACUGUGUACAUGUAAUAUGGCAGGUCGGGGUGAGCCUGGCACUGUAUGUUGUAGGCAAGUUGGGGGCGAGCCUGGCACUGUGUACAUGUAAUAUGGCAGGUCGGGGCGAGCCUGGCACUGUAUGUUGUAGGCAAGUUGGGGGCGAGCCUGGCACUGUGUACAUGUAAUAUGGCAAGUUGGGGUGAGCCUGGCACUGUGUAUGUUGUAGGCAAGUUGGGGCGAGCUUGGCACUGUGUACAUGUGGUAUGGUACGUUGGAGUGACAUUGACACUGUGAAUGUUCUGGCAUAGCAAGUUGGGGCGAGCCUAGCACUAUGUACAUGUAAUAUGGCAGGUUGGGGUGAACCUAGCACUGUGCUCAUAUUGUCGUGAGCUUGGCACCAUGUACAUGUGGUAUGGUACGUUGGAGUGACAUUGACACUGUGUAUGUUGUGGCAUAGCAAGGUGGGGUGAGCCUGGCACUGUGUACAUGUAAUAUGGCAGAUUGGGGUGAGCCUGGCACUGUGUAUGUUGUAGGCAAGUUGGGGCAGGCCUGGCACUGUGUACAUGUGGU